UGUAUAAUAAAAGUCAGCUUGCCGAUUUAUGGAUUUAAUGUUGAGAUUUUGGUUAAUAGUUGGACCAUUUGCUGAUAAAUGUUAUGCGUCAUUCCUUUUUCUUAGAUUAGUUAACCUGAAAUUGGAGGAAUUUGUGGUUUAGAAGCUAACCGGAGUGAUGUUUCUUGGAUCUUGAUCACUGAUGCUUGAUAUAUAUUUUUCUUGAUAUCUUGGCAAUAUGGUAGAUAGAGCAACAGCCGUUAUCAAAUUUCGGU
RNAcentral lists this long non-coding RNA (254 nucleotides) under Coffea arabica (coffee). Its description in RNAcentral is "long non-coding RNA (CARA_LNC005452)". Lineage: Eukaryota; Viridiplantae; Streptophyta; Magnoliopsida; Gentianales; Rubiaceae. The record is from RNAcentral.